RNAcentral lists this transfer RNA (75 nucleotides) under Chaenogobius annularis (forktongue goby). RNAcentral describes it as "tRNA-Lys". It matches the Rfam family "tRNA". Rfam says of the family: Transfer RNA (tRNA) molecules are approximately 80 nucleotides in length. Their secondary structure includes four short double-helical elements and three loops (D, anti-codon, and T loops). The record is from RNAcentral. Lineage: Eukaryota; Metazoa; Chordata; Actinopteri; Gobiiformes; Gobiidae.
CACUAGGAAGCUAAAGUGGACUAUAGCAUCAGCCUUUUAAGCUGAAAAUUGGUGAUUUCCAACCACCCCUAAUGA